UGACACUGAACAUUGAGCCUUGAUGUGUAGGAUAGGUGGGAGGCUUUGAAGCGUGGACGCCAGUCUGCGUGGAGCCAACCUUGAAAUACCACCCUUUAAUGUUUGAUGUUCUAACGUUGGCCCCUUACCGGGGUUGCGGACAGUGUCUGGUGGGUAGUUUGACUGGGGCGGUCUCCUCCCAAAGCGUAACGGAGGAGCACGAAGGUUAGCUAAUCCUGGUCGGACAUCAGGAGGUUAGUGCAAUGGCAUAAGC
Molecule: ribosomal RNA, 253 nt
Filed under: Klebsiella pneumoniae
Lineage: Bacteria; Pseudomonadati; Pseudomonadota; Gammaproteobacteria; Enterobacterales; Enterobacteriaceae
Also listed under: 2 other names
Description: partial 23S ribosomal RNA
Rfam family: Bacterial large subunit ribosomal RNA
Source: RNAcentral